Molecule: long non-coding RNA, 227 nt
Organism: Acanthochromis polyacanthus (spiny chromis)
Lineage: Eukaryota; Metazoa; Chordata; Actinopteri; Pomacentridae
Exons: 2
Source: RefSeq, a predicted model, not a curated record
UUAUCCAUGUGCUAACAUAACUGCACAAGGGUUUUCUAACCAUCAAUGAGCCUUUCAACACCAUUAGCUAACACAAUGUAGCAUUAGAACACAGGAGUGAUGGUUGCUGGAAAUGUUCCUCUGUACCCCUAUGGAGACAUUCCAUUAAAAAUCAGCCGUUUACAACCAGAAUAGUCAUUUACCACAUUAACUAUGUCUACACUGGAUUUAUCAUUCACUUUAUGUUA